Molecule: ribosomal RNA, 495 nt
Filed under: uncultured bacterium
Lineage: Bacteria
Description: partial 16S ribosomal RNA
Rfam family: Bacterial small subunit ribosomal RNA
Source: RNAcentral
GACGAACGCUGGCGGCGUGCCUAAUACAUGCAAGUAGAACGCUGAAGGAGGAGCUUGCUUCUCUGGAUGAGUUGCGAACGGGUGAGUAACGCGUAGGUAACCUGCCUGGUAGCGGGGGAUAACUAUUGGAAACGAUAGCUAAUACCGCAUAAUAGUAGAUGUUGCAUGACAUUUGCUUAAAAGGUGCAAUUGCAUCACUACCAGAUGGACCUGCGUUGUAUUAGCUAGUUGGUGAGGUAACGGCUCACCAAGGCAACGAUACAUAGCCGACCUGAGAGGGUGAUCGGCCACACUGGGACUGAGACACGGCCCAGACUCCUACGGGAGGCAGCAGUAGGGAAACUUUGGCAAAGGACGGAAGUCUGACCGAGCAACGCCGCGGGAGUGAAGAAGGUUUUCGGAUCGGAAAGCUCUGUUGUAAGAGAAGAAAGAGUGUGAGAGUGGAAAGUUCACACUGUGACGGUAUCUUACCAGAAAGGGACGGCUAACUACGUG